This 468-nucleotide ribosomal RNA is filed under the name uncultured bacterium. RNAcentral describes it as "partial 16S ribosomal RNA". It matches the Rfam family "Bacterial small subunit ribosomal RNA", at positions 28 to 507 of the family's 1533-position model. The record is from RNAcentral.
GUCGAACGCUGGCGGCGUGCUUAACACAUGCAAGUCGAACGGAAAGGCCCUGCUUUUGUGGGGUGCUCGAGUGGCGAACGGGUGAGUAACACGUGAGUAACCUGCCCUUGACUUUGGGAUAACUUCAGGAAACUGGGGCUAAUACCGGAUAGGAGCUCCUGCUGCAUGGUGGGGGUUGGAAAGUUUCGGCGGUUGGGGAUGGACUCGCGGCUUAUCAGCUUGUUGGUGGGGUAGUGGCUUACCAAGGCUUUGACGGGUAGCCGGCCUGAGAGGGUGACCGGCCACAUUGGGACUGAGAUACGGCCCAGACUCCUACGGGAGGCAGCAGUGGGGAAUAUUGCACAAUGGGCGGGAGCCUGAUGCAGCAACGCCGCGUGCGGGAUGACGGCCUUCGGGUUGUAAACCGCUUUCGCCUGUGACGAAGCGUGAGUGACGGUAAUGGGUAAAGAAGCACCGGCUAACUACGUG